UGAGCGAAAGUCACAUUUUAUUGAAGUAAAAUACCAACACAGCUCACCAUUACCUGGCUCCAAUGCUUGAUCAAUGGUCUGAUGAACUUUCCCCUGUCCUAUGUGCUCCUGGUCUAGUGGAGAUGGAGCUGCAGUCAGUAAGGACGAACACGACAAUGUCUAAAUUGUUUUGCAGACAAACAGAAACUGCCAUUAUUUUGCGUGACUCAAAUUGUGUCAGAUGUGUGGGGGUAUCUGUAUAAAAAUACAUUUGUAGCAAAGUACCAAAAGUGGUUCAAUCAGCAGGAACAUUCCAUUGGUUUCCACGGUUACAGCCCAUGUCAUAGACCAUUGUCUGCAGCACUGAGUUAAUAAACUGCUAACCAUGAAAACAGAAAUGUUU
Molecule: non-coding RNA, 382 nt
Organism: Pelobates cultripes (western spadefoot toad)
Lineage: Eukaryota; Metazoa; Chordata; Amphibia; Anura; Pelobatidae
Source: the annotation of a GenBank genome assembly